AGUACUUUUGAUUAAACUCAUCCAUUAAUCUUUUUUUUUUGGUUGGGGGUUAUAGUAAUCUGAUAAGCUAUAUAUGGAUGGAAAUAUACUUGACAUAGCUUCAUGAACAAGUAUCCUGACAUUUAAUGGAACGUAAGCAGAAGAAAAUUCUGCGAAAGAGACUGAUGGAAAAGUUCCAUCUGAAAAUUUUGGAAUUCCUGAAACCAACUCCUCUAGAAAAUUUCAAGCAAUCAAGCAAUUGGAGAAUUAUCUUCUAUGAAAAGGCCAUUAAUCCAGGAAAUGAGUUGAAUGACACGCAAGCAUUUGUGACAGUAGCAAAAAAUUCUAAUGGAACAUGGUCCCAUAAAAAGUGAUAUUCAAAACUGGUCUUGGACGCACUAUUUAUUAUGGGUUAACACAGGAUACAAUGCGAUGUGUACUACAAGCAGCACUACAGUUGAAUCAAGCGAUAGAAAACGAGUAGCGGCUGCCCUCAUUUGCCCGAGUUUUAUCCCUUGUUGAACAUCAUUUUUUGGUCGGCGAUCUUCGCAGAGGAGAUUCAUGGCUUCGAUCAAAAUCACCGCAAAUAGGUAAGUACCAAUCGGAAUUCAAUGAAUCUGCUUGAACAGGAACUGUUUGUAGGCUGCCGUAGGUAGUUUGACGAAUAUCUAGCCCGUUUUGCCAUUUUGUUUGUACUCUCAAGAAAGAGGAAAGGGUGGUAUUUCAAAGUCAUAAAGUAAUGGAUGGAUAAAACUACACGGGUAUGUGUCAUUACUGGAUGUCAGAAGAUCCAUUUGACUCGCGAGAAGGUGAUAAAGCAUCAUUCCCAAGACUCACUUGGAUGCCGACCGGACAAUGACACACACGACGUUUUAUUUCAUUACUUGUGACUUAAAAGUAGUCAAGCCACUUUGUAGAUCGUCCCUGCUAGCUCUAGCUAUAAAAGCUAGUGAAAAGCAGCUCAAUGUGACUUGGACUCCUGGAGGUUUUUUAUCCUGCAUCUCAUAGAAUGUUUUUCUUUCACUGAAUCAUUCACAUGUUAUGCUUUUUUACCACCUUCUAAAGGACAUCCAUGAAAAUUGAGCAUUGUGCAAGGACAGGAACGAAAAGUAGCCCUGUUGGAAAAGCUAUUUUUGGACAUUAAAGUUAGGCACUUCAUGAGGUAAUAGUAAUGCAAAACUUGCUUCCCAUCCAUAGGAAAACAUUCAAUACGUUUUUUUAAACAGGUUAUGGUUUUUACGAAGAAAAGAGGCUGCAGAACGCCUCUGACGUAAAUUAUGGCCGUUUUUCCAUCAUUUGCUUCCAGCCGUGACCGGUCAUUUUUCCCGUUUCCUGAACGCGGAUGCAGUUGAGCAUGACGGUAGAAAGUUUACUAUCGCUGCUAGUUAACACUUCGUCAUCAGUCGGUUGCCUGAAACGUUACAUUGUUCCCCAAACAGUGGCUCUCUGGCUCGUUCUGCUGUCACGGUCGCGCUGAAGUAACUACACCAUUUAUACGACUCUCUGGGCCACUCCAACAAAAUGAAACCGUGCCAUUUGUACUUAGAAUCUUCCUACCGUACAACGUAUUGCAAUGUUUGAUGCCGAAUCCGUCGCCGAUGCCCUUCAUAAAGCAACAACUGACUUAGACACUGACGAAGAAGCCUUCACGACCAUUUUUUUGCCAUCGAAAAAAUCGGGAAAUGUAUAAAGCAGUGAUUGGAGUAGGAACUAGCGAAGGGAGAAUGGUUGUCUCGGCAACGGAACUAAUCAGGAGACACUCGAAAUGAGCGCUAUAUACCAACGACUAUACGGUCAUCCCGCGCAAGACGAUAUCAAACGAGAUACUUUUGGAGACUUCGACGCGUUGCUUCUUUCACCUGUUCAGGUUCAAGGAGACGAGACGCAGAUGGCCUGUGUGGCGCAAGCUAAACCGACGCCUGCAUUUGUUUGAAGCCGGAGCGACCAAACUAGAAACUGAUGAAAAAGUUUUCUAUUCCAUUCUAACAAUCCUUGGCUGGGGUCAAUUACGUCAAACUAUUGCCGAAUAUGAGACUAUGCAUGGCCUCUCUUUGGAAAAUGCCGUGACAAGCGAAUCUUCCACCAACGCUCGAUGGGGUAUCUUAGAACUAUCCACCACCUUAUUCGUCUGAUCGUCAGCCGCUGCGAUGUUGAUCUGGGCAACAUUAAAAGAGAGUACGAAAAUAAAUUCGGCACAGAUCUUCAAGCUGAUGUUUCUGUAUUGCUCUUUUCGUAUUGUACUAUGAAAAAUAUUAAAAUAACGCAUGUUUUUAGGAUCAUACGUCUCGUGACUGUAGAAAAGCUCUUGUAACACUUAUUGACUGAGAACUGGAAAAACAUUUGUGCACGGGAAACUGCGCUACUAUAAACUAAACUCAUAUUCAAAAUUAUUUUAUAUUGAAAGGUUACAUAAAAAAGCGAUGUGCUCGAGCUUUAUUUUUUGUCAAA
This is a long non-coding RNA of Daphnia carinata, 2427 nucleotides long. RefSeq lists it as uncharacterized. The record is from RefSeq and is a predicted model, not a curated record. The transcript has 13 exons. NCBI's taxonomy places the organism in Eukaryota, Metazoa, Arthropoda, Branchiopoda, Diplostraca, Daphniidae.